Molecule: small RNA, 576 nt
Filed under: Pan troglodytes (chimpanzee)
Lineage: Eukaryota; Metazoa; Chordata; Mammalia; Primates; Hominidae
Description: retained intron
Source: RNAcentral
AUAAAACAGUUUAUUUUUGGAGGUGUGGUCUGAAAUUUAUUAUAUUCAAAAUUUUUAAAACUUAAGCAUAACUUUGUUGUUUUUCUCAGCCUCCAGCUGCACCAACAAGUAGAAAUUAUGCAGAAAUGAGGGAAAAGCUUCGCUUACGGCUGACCAAGAGGAAAGAGGAGCAACCUAAAAAAAUGGACCAGAUCUCAGAAAGGGAAAGCGUCGUUGACCAUCGGAGGGUGGAGGAUUUGUUGCAGUUUAUAAAUAGCUCCGAAACCAAACCAGUGAGCAGCACGCGUGCCGCGAAGCGAGCAAGGCAUAAGCAAAGGAAGCUGGAGGAGAAAGCUCGCCUAGAAGCAGAGGCCAGGGCCCGAGAGCACCUGCACCUCCAGGAGGAGCAGAGGCGGCGGGAGGAGGAGGAUGAGGAAGAAGAGGAGGACCGUUUCAAGGAGGAAUUUCAGCGGCUUCAGGAGCUUCAGAAGCUAAGAGCUGUGAAAAAGAAGAAGAAGGAGAGGCCAAGUAAAGACUGCCCCAAGUUGGACAUGCUCACUAGAAAUUUCCAGGCAGCAACAGAGUCUGUUCCUAACU